CACACACACACACACACACACACAUGCACGUACACACACUGGGGAAGAUGGGUGAGAAGCAUAUACUCUUUGCGCACUGUAUGGUUCUCUAAAAUGUCACCAUUAGAUAAAAUUAGGCAGAGUACAAACAGGCGCUAUCUUUUUGGAACUAUAUGUGCAACUACAUAAUCUCUAAUUAUUCCAAUAAAAUGUUCCACUAAAAACAAAGGAUAUGGUGCAGGGGGUGUAGCUAAGGGAUAGAGUAUCUUUCCCUACCACGCACAAGGCCCUAGGCUUCAUCCCCAGCACAACAAAAAUAAACAUGUAAGCAAAACUAAAACAAUCUCCCUUGAAACCAAAAAGUGGGUGGAGCUGGGACAGGCCGUGGCUUCUCCAGCCCUAUCCCAGGUGCCUCUUGCUAGACAACCUUGACUUAUCUCUGGUUCUCUUGGCCUAGGGAAGACAGUCCCCACAGGUAGAUGUGACAUGAAUUUCUUUUGGAGCUUUUAUCCACGAAGCACCUUCUCUGGAGCUUACUUUUCUGCCCAAGAAGCUAUCAGAAGCGUGGUCAGAGCUGAGGGCUAUCAUUAGCCUCCCUGACCUCCUCCCUGUCCGAUCUCUCCACUUUCACCAAGUCCCCUGGGCCGGCCCUGCCUUGGCUCACCGUGACAGAGUGCUAGAAACAGACAGUAUUGGUUUUUUUCCUCUUGCAGGAAGCCCAAGGUGAAAGAGACAGAGUGGUGUCACCUUGAGGAGAAACAGUAUCCAGGCUAGGGAAAACAUUGUAAAUAUUUACUUAUUUCAAAGGAGAGAGAAAGGGGUUGAACAGGGCUCAUCCUGAGUAGCUCAGAGAGAGAGAGGACAAAGCCAGAAUUGGUCCUUCUGGAUGUAAAUCGCACACAAUAAGCUUUAAACUCCCCGUGGGAAACACUCACUGUUAUAUAGAGUCUUUGCAGGUGGGCUUCACUGAGACGUGGGAAUGGUGUGCCCAGGAAGGAGAAGGUAGCUGGAGAGCACGGCUACCUCUGGAGGGGCUGUCACCAUCGAGCCUGGCACUUCUGAGAACCCCACCAGCUCUGCAAAAAGCCCGAGUUUGUGCUUGCCCACUUUUAAAAGCUGUGAGGGCGAAUGUGAGCCGCAGGAUUCCCUGGACCUCAGGACCUCAGAGUUUGGCUAUGAGAGCCCAGUUUUUCCUCUGCCUCUUUAUUUAGAACUGCGUGAUGAAUUUAGUCAUUGUUUGCAUUGGCCAGCUGACUUGAGAAGGGAGAGAUAAGACUUCCAUUUCGGGAGUGUCUGGGAGUGGGGAGACCUUGACCUUGGGUGAGGAGAUGGAAGAUAGAUGCCGUAGGCAAUGAGGAUGUCAGAAGAAAGACCUUAUUCUGGUGACUUCACCGACCAGGCACAGGUACGCGGAAACAGGAAGAAUGCAUACAUUCUACAAUGUGGGAACAGGAAGCAAAAACCUAUCCAUGGAGAAGAUGGAAAGAUCUUUCCACCCAAGACUGUCUCAACCAGGAACUCCAGCUGACUGCCUCAGUUUCCCCGGUCUGUUUCUGCUGGAUGAGUGUAAGGCCUCGACGUGAUGAUGUAUUGCUCUGUUGCUAUUUGCUCUUUUACUUGGAAGCCUCACCUGAGGGGACACUGUUCUUUCCAGGACUCUCUCGAUCAAGAACUCCAGCUGGCUGCCUCAACAGGGCUUCCCAGUCAAUUUCUGCUGGAUGUUUGUAAGCCCACGAUUUGAUCCUUUUACCUACUGUUUGCUUUCUCAGUCGAUUUGACGUUGUUUUGCCAUCUCUCUGCCGUUUCAACCUGUCUGCUCCUUGCUAUUUACUCCUUUUCCUUUUGCUUGCGACAGACUCAAUAAACCCACUCAUUCAAAACCCAAA
This is a long non-coding RNA of Myodes glareolus (Bank vole), 1865 nucleotides long. RefSeq lists it as uncharacterized. The record is from RefSeq and is a predicted model, not a curated record. NCBI's taxonomy places the organism in Eukaryota, Metazoa, Chordata, Mammalia, Rodentia, Cricetidae.